This 466-nucleotide ribosomal RNA is filed under the name uncultured bacterium. Its description in RNAcentral is "partial 16S ribosomal RNA". It matches the Rfam family "Bacterial small subunit ribosomal RNA", at positions 28 to 507 of the family's 1533-position model. The record is from RNAcentral.
GACGAACGCUGGCGGCGCGCCUAACACAUGCAAGUCGAACGAGCGAGAGAGAGCUUGCUUUCUCAAGCGAGUGGCGAACGGGUGAGUAACGCGUGAGGAACCUGCCUCAAAGAGGGGGACAACAGUUGGAAACGACUGCUAAUACCGCAUAAGCCCACGACCCGGCAUCGGGUAGAGGGAAAAGGAGCAAUCCGCUUUGAGAUGGCCUCGCGUCCGAUUAGCUAGUUGGUGAGGUAACGGCCCACCAAGGCGACGAUCGGUAGCCGGACUGAGAGGGUGAACGGCCACAUUGGGACUGAGACACGGCCCAGACUCCUACGGGAGGCAGCAGUGGGGAAUAUUGCACAAUGGGGGAAACCCUGAUGCAGCGACGCCGCGUGGAGGAAGAAGGUCUUCGGAUUGUAAACUCCUGUUGUUGAGGAAGAUAAUGACGGUACUCAACAAGGAAGUGACGGCUAACUACGUG